This 256-nucleotide ribosomal RNA is filed under the name uncultured bacterium. Its description in RNAcentral is "partial 16S ribosomal RNA". It matches the Rfam family "Bacterial small subunit ribosomal RNA", at positions 521 to 776 of the family's 1533-position model. The record is from RNAcentral.
UAAUACGUAGGAUGCAAGCGUUGUCCGGAAUUAUUGGGCGUAAAGAGUUUGUAGGCGGUUGCUUAAGUCUGUCGUUAAAGGUCGGAGCUCAACUCCGGUAUGGCGAUGGAAACUGGGCGGCUAGAGUGUGCUAGAGGUAACUGGAAUUCCAGGUGUAGCGGUGAAAUGCGUAGAUAUCUGGAGGAACACCAGUGGCGAAAGCGGGUUACUGGAGCAUUACUGACGCUGAAGAACGAAAGCCAGGGUAGCAAAAGGG